GCUCAGUAACGCGUAGUCAACCUAACCUAUGGACGGGAAUAACCUCGGGAAACUGAGUAUAAUGCCCGAUAGAACACUAUACCUGGAAUGGUUUGUGUUCCAAAUGAUUUAUCGCCGUAGGAUGGGACUGCGGCCUAUCAGUUUGUUGGUGAGGUAAUGGCCCACCAAGACUAUUACAGGUACGGGCUCUGAGAGGAGUAGCCCGGAGAUGGGUACUGAGACACGGACCCAGGCCCUAUGGGGCGCAGCAGGCGAGAAAACUUUGCAAUGUGCGAAAGCACGACAAGGUUAAUCCGAGUGGUUUCUGCUAAAGAAACCUUUUGUUAGUCAUAGAACCACUAAUGAAUAAGGGGUGGGCAAGUUCUGGUGUCAGCCGCCGCGGUAAAACCAGCACCUCAAGUGGUCAGGAUGAUUAUUGGGCCUAAAGCAUCCGUAGCCGGCUCUGUAAGUUUUCGGUUAAAUCUGUACGCUCAACGUACAGGCUGCCGGGAAUACUGCAGAGCUAGGGAGUGGGAGAGGUAGACGGUACUCGGUAGGAAGGGGUAAAAUCCUUUGAUCUAUUGAUGACCACCUGUGGCGAAGGCGGUCUACCAGAACACGUCCGACGGUGAGGGAUGAAAGCUGGGGGAGCAAACCGGAUUAGAUACCCGGGUAGUCCCAGCUGUAAACUAUGCAAACUCAGUGAUGCAUUGGCUUGUGGCCAAUGCAGUGCUGCAGGGAAGCCGUUAAGUUUGCCGCCUGGGAAGUACGUACGCAAGUAUGAAACUUAAAGGAAUUGGCGGGGGAGCACCACAAGGGGUGAAGCCUGCGGUUCAAUUGGAGUCAACGCCGGG
This 833-nucleotide ribosomal RNA is filed under the name uncultured crenarchaeote. Its description in RNAcentral is "bacterial SSU rRNA". It matches the Rfam family "Archaeal small subunit ribosomal RNA", at positions 88 to 922 of the family's 1478-position model. Lineage: Archaea; Thermoproteati; Thermoproteota. The record is from RNAcentral.